UUAUAACUAAUGAAACAAAUCAUAAUAUAUUUAUAGGUUAUAAAUUUUUUUAAUUAAAUAUUGAAGAUAUAGU
Molecule: transfer RNA, 73 nt
Filed under: Komagataella phaffii CBS 7435
Lineage: Eukaryota; Fungi; Ascomycota; Pichiomycetes; Pichiales; Pichiaceae
Description: partial tRNA-Ile
Source: RNAcentral